AGGGGGAAAAUUAAUAAAAUUAUAAAUAAUAAAAAAAUUUUUAAUAAAAAUAUUUAAAUGGGGGUUAAAGUAUUUUUAAAGAAAAAAUAAAAAAAAUUUAUAGUUAAAUAGUAGUGUGAAGGAAUUUUGAAAUAGUUGAAAAUAAAAUUAUUUAUAAGUAGAUUUAAUUUAUUGUAUCUUGUGUAUCAGAGUUUAUAAAAAAAAAUUUAUAGGUAAAAAUUUCUCGAAUUUUAAAGGGCUAAUUAAUUAAAAAAUUUAAUGUGGGAUAAUUAUUUUAAAUAAUUAAUUAGAAAUGAAAUGUUAUUCGUUUUAAAAUAUAUCUAGUUUUUUUAGAAAUAAAUUUAAUUUAAAAUAUUAUUUUAUUAUAUUUUAAUUAAUAAAAAUUUAAAAAAUAAUAUUUAAUAUUUUAAGGGAUAAGCUUUAAAAUAAUUUAAUAAAUAAGAAAAAUUUAAGAAAAAAUUUAAUUUUUUAUGAAAAAAUAAUUUUAAAUUAAUUAAAUUUAAAUAUAAUGAUAAAAUUAGUAUAUUGUAUAAUUAAUAAAAAUUAAAAUAAAAUAAAUGAAAUAUUAUAAUAAGGAAUUCGGCAAAUUUUAAUAUUCACUUGUUUAACAAAAACAUGUCUUUUUGAGAAUAAUAUAAAGUCUAGUCUGCCCACUGAUAUAAUAUUAAAGGGCUGCAGUAUUUUGACUGUACAAAGGUAGCAUAAUCAUUUGUCUUUUAAUUGAAGACUAGUAUGAAGGAUUGGAUGAAAUAUUAACUGUCUCAUUUUAAUUUGUAAAAUUUAAUUUUUUAGUUAAAAAGCUAAAAUAAAUUUAAAAGACGAGAAGACCCUAUAGAGUUUAAUAAUUAAAAUAAUAAUAAUUAAAUAUAAAUAUAAAAAUUAAAAUUAAUUUAAUUAUUUUGUUGGGGUGACAGAAAAAUUAAAUUAACUUUUUUUAAUUGAUAUUACAUAAAUAAGUGAGAAAAUGAUCCAUUAAUAAUGAUUAAAAGAAAAAAUUACCUUAGGGAUAACAGCGUAAUUUUUUUUUUUAGGUCAAAUAAGAAAAAAAGUUUGCGACCUCGAUGUUGGAUUAAGAUAAAAUUUAAAUGCAAAAGUUUAAAAGUUUUGAUCUGUUCGAUCAUUAAAAUCUUACAUGAUCUGAGUUCAAACCGGUGAAAGCCAGGUUGGUUUCUAUCUUUAGAAAAAUAUAAUAUUUUAGUACGAAAGGAUCAAAUA
This 1215-nucleotide ribosomal RNA is filed under the name Trogonoptera brookiana. Its description in RNAcentral is "16S ribosomal RNA". The stretch from base 555 to 1215 matches the Rfam family "Archaeal large subunit ribosomal RNA", at positions 1424 to 2770 of the family's 2987-position model. Lineage: Eukaryota; Metazoa; Arthropoda; Insecta; Lepidoptera; Papilionidae. The record is from RNAcentral.